This 18-nucleotide unclassified non-coding RNA is filed under the name Mus musculus (house mouse). RNAcentral's name for it is "oocyte_clustered_small_RNA14005". Lineage: Eukaryota; Metazoa; Chordata; Mammalia; Rodentia; Muridae. The record is from RNAcentral.
GGCCAUGGAGGGGCUCUG